GAUGAACGCUGGCUGUGUGCCUAAUACAUGCAUGUCGAGCGGAAGUAGCAAUACUUUAGCGGCGAAUGGGUGAGUAACACGUGCUUAAUCUACCUCUUAGAUUGGAAUACCUAAUGGAAACAUUGGUUAAUGCCGGAUACGCAUGGAGUCGCAUGACUCCGUUGUGAAAGGGGCCUUUAAAGCUCCACUAAGAGAUGAGGGUGCGGAACAUUAGCUAGUUGGUGAGGUAACGGCCCACCAAGGCUAUGAUGUUUAGCCGGGUCGAGAGACUGAACGGCCACAUUGGGACUGAGAUACGGCCCAAACUCCUACGGGAGGCAGCAGUAGGGAAUAUUCCACAAUGAGCGAAAGCCUGAUGCAGCAACGCCGCGUGAAGGAUGAAGGCCUUCGGGUUGUAAACUUCUGUUCUAAGGGAAGAAAGAAAUGACGGUACCUUAGGAGCAAGCCCCGGCUAACUACGUGCCAGCAGCCGCGGUAAUACGUAGGGGGCAAGCGUUAUCCGGAAUUAUUGGGCGUAAAGAGUGCGUAGGUGGUUACCUAAGCGCAAGGUUUAAAUUAGAGGCUCAACCUCUACAUGCCUUGCGAACUGGGCUACUUGAGUGCAGGAGGGGAAAGCGGAGUUCCUAGUGUAGCGGUGAAAUGCGUAGAUAUUAGGAGGAACACCGGCGGCGAAGGCGGCUUUCUGGACUGUAACUGACACUGAGGCACGAAAGCGUGGGUAGCAAACAGG
Molecule: ribosomal RNA, 730 nt
Filed under: uncultured Porphyromonas sp.
Lineage: Bacteria; Pseudomonadati; Bacteroidota; Bacteroidia; Bacteroidales; Porphyromonadaceae
Description: bacterial SSU rRNA
Rfam family: Bacterial small subunit ribosomal RNA
Source: RNAcentral